RNAcentral lists this transfer RNA (21 nucleotides) under Corvus corone (carrion crow). RNAcentral's name for it is "partial tRNA-Phe". The record is from RNAcentral. Lineage: Eukaryota; Metazoa; Chordata; Aves; Passeriformes; Corvidae. RNAcentral also lists the same sequence under 6 other names.
GUCCAUGUAGCUUACAGCAAA